AGUAUGCCUUGACAAAUUCAAAUCGAAUUUUGUUUUGACAAAUUUCGUGUCUGCAGAAAAUCGGAAAAUGCUUAGAUAAGACCCCGUCAGAUGCAAGAUAUACCCGCACCAGAUAUAUACCUCAAAUGUUGGGGCGGUGCGGGGGUCCGCUGCCGCUGCCGCUGACGUUGCCGCUGCCGAUUCCGAUCCGACUCCAUUGUAGCACAAUGAACGGCUGUUUCGUGGUUCUUGCACUUUCACUAUAUUAAAAUGCAUACCACCUA
Molecule: long non-coding RNA, 263 nt
Organism: Drosophila pseudoobscura
Lineage: Eukaryota; Metazoa; Arthropoda; Insecta; Diptera; Drosophilidae
Exons: 2
Source: RefSeq, a predicted model, not a curated record